UUGGAGCCCGAACUCUCACUUUCUAACCCUGUGCAUCUGUUAUUGGUUAGUAGCUCUUCGGAGUGAACUCCAUUCACUUACAAACACAAAGUCUAUGAAUGUAUACAAAAUUAUAACAAAACAAAACUUUCAACAACGGAUCUCUUGGCUCUCGCAUCGAUGAAGAACGCAGCGAAAUGCGAUACGUAAUGUGAAUUGCAGAAUUCAGUGAAUCAUCGAAUCUUUGAACGCACCUUGCGCUCCUUGGUAUUCCGAGGAGCAUGCCUGUUUGAGUGUCAUGAAAUCAUCAACCCACCUCUUUCUUAGUGAAUCUGGUGGUGCUUGGUUUCUGAGCGCUGCUCUGCUUCGGCUUAGCUCGUUCGUAAUGCAUUAGCAUCCGCAACCGAACUUCGGAUUGACUUGGCGUAAUAGACUAUUCGCUGAGGAUUCUAGUCUCGUACUAGAGCCGGGUUGGGUUAAAGGAAGCUUCUAAUCCUAAAGUCUAUUUUUUGAUUAGAUCUCAAAUCAGGUAGGACUACCCGCUGAACUUAAGCAUAUCAAA
RNAcentral lists this ribosomal RNA (541 nucleotides) under Rhodotorula glutinis. Its description in RNAcentral is "eukaryotic LSU rRNA". The stretch from base 125 to 278 matches the Rfam family "5.8S ribosomal RNA". Lineage: Eukaryota; Fungi; Basidiomycota; Microbotryomycetes; Sporidiobolales; Sporidiobolaceae. The record is from RNAcentral.